Non-coding RNA from Camellia sinensis, 429 nucleotides. The record is from RefSeq and is a predicted model, not a curated record. NCBI's taxonomy places the organism in Eukaryota, Viridiplantae, Streptophyta, Magnoliopsida, Ericales, Theaceae.
AGCAUGCACCGCCGCCGCCUCCACCUGCCGUUCACGGCCACCCUCCACCACCUGUCCCCCCAAGCAGCCACCCUCCUCCACCAGAAGUUGUGCACCACCACCACGAGCAAGAGGAAACUGGCUGCUCUGCUUUCCUCAAAGGCUGUUUGAAUGCUCUGUGUUGCCGCUGAGAAAUGGGGAUUGAUUGAUCAAAUAUAAGUCAUAGUUUGGUGUUGGAGGCAGGAACAUAAGGAGCCCAUAUGCGUGUGUUUGUACUAGGGACUGAAACUUAUGGAUGUUGCAAUCUAUUUAUUAGUAUGGUUGUUUCGAUUUCUCUGGUUUUUUGUAUGACCAAUUUUAUCUCCGUAACUUAAAAUUGUCUUCUAUUAUUUUUAUAUGUGGAAGUGGCCAUCUCUCUGUGCUUGUGCUUGGCUACCUUGGAUUGCGUCA